Rana temporaria (common frog) is the source of this 176-nucleotide long non-coding RNA. RefSeq lists it as uncharacterized. Lineage: Eukaryota; Metazoa; Chordata; Amphibia; Anura; Ranidae. The transcript has 3 exons. The record is from RefSeq and is a predicted model, not a curated record.
CUGACCGGAGAGAGUUUUCCUCCUGUGAAGUCAGGUGAUCAUAUGACCAUCACAUUGCCUUCACCUUGCUCCAUGAAACCCAAGAGAAACCAUGAAAAGAAGAUUCUAGAAGUCACCAAGAAGAUGAUGGAGCUGCUGACAGGAGAGGUUCCUAUAAGGUGUCAGGAUGUCACUGU